UUUAUAUGUUUGGGGUUCUGAGCGUAAAAAAUUUCCGCCACUUGUAAGACGAAACCUCAUCCCGCUUCAUACAGGAAGCCGCUUCAACCACAAAACCCUUACGACUUCAAACUUGUUCAAAAUUUGAAAUCUAUCAUCAAUCUCUCUAUCGACUCAUGAUCCCAUCCCUCUCUCAAUUUCCUCUCAAUCAUAAUCGCUGAUCAAACGAGAAAAAACGAUUCAACGCAUUCCAAAUCCUUGAACCCCUCUCUCAAUUAUAGAUCCAUGACUCAAUCUCCGCGAUCCAAUCCCUCUUAUAAUCAGAAUCUUUAAUCAAUUCCACUCUCAAUUCAGAAUCACCCUCAAUUUCUCUCUUGAUUCAAAAUCACUCUCAAUUCCUCUUUGGAUUCAAGCUCUUGAUUUGUCUGCUCAGAAGCCAUAUCCCCUAUCUGUUGCAGCAGAGGUGGUGGGACAAUGUUCUUGGUGUACCCUUACUCUCGACGUGUUGUCAUGAAGUCGGUGUUGCUAUAGACACUCAUAUGUUAGUGGGAUCGGUUCCAUGCAAGGUUGUAAUAUGUACUACACUAAGUCUCUAGCACAGGUGGAAUUUCAAGUAGGAAUCUAACUACCAGUGCAAAUCAAUAUGUGUGAUUCAAGAAGAAAUAUGAUAUGGAUGGACCUUGAUGCUAUAACUUAAGCCAAAAUGAUCAAUACAAGUAACUCAUCGAUGUUGAAAUAUUUUGGUGGAUUUGUUUCACCUUAGACACAACCACGAGAAGAACCGUUAAAACUAGUCCCCAUUAUUGUACCUCUGGUAACCAAAUAGUGUGGUAACUGUUUUCUUUCAUAGAAAUGGAUAUUACUUGAAAAAGUGCAGCGUUAAAUGCAUCUCCAAGUAAAUAGGAUAGGGGAUUAUGCUAAGUAUUGGAUAAAAUUAAAGAACAUCAUAGUUUAUUUGUGUAAAUCACUAGUUAAACACAAUUGGCGGCAUUUAUAUAUUGAUCAGUUAUUUUAUACAUAACUUGUAUGACGUCCAAUGUUUUUAUGUUAGAGUUAAAAGGUAGUGCACUGACAGUGUAAAACUAUUUUACACUGUCAUCCAAUAAGGAGUCAUGAA
Molecule: long non-coding RNA, 1096 nt
Organism: Vicia villosa (hairy vetch)
Lineage: Eukaryota; Viridiplantae; Streptophyta; Magnoliopsida; Fabales; Fabaceae
Exons: 3
Source: RefSeq, a predicted model, not a curated record